UACGGGGGGGGCAAGCGUUGUUCGGAAUUACUGGGCGUAAAGGGCUCGCAGGCGGCCGACUAAGUCAGACGUGAAAUCCCUUGGCUUAACCAAGGAAUGGCGUCUGAUACUGGACGGCUUGAAUCCGGGAGAGGGAUGUGGAAUUCCAGGUGUAGCGGUGAAAUGCGUAGAUAUCUGAAGGAACACCGGUGGCGAAGGCGGCAUCCUGGACCGGUAUUGACGCUGAGGAGCGAAAGCAUGGGGAGCGAACAGG
This 253-nucleotide ribosomal RNA is filed under the name uncultured bacterium. Its description in RNAcentral is "partial 16S ribosomal RNA". It matches the Rfam family "Bacterial small subunit ribosomal RNA", at positions 524 to 776 of the family's 1533-position model. The record is from RNAcentral.